AACUCUUUCCACACCUAAGCAGCCCUGCAAAUCAAAUACCAGAAAUCACAAUCAAACUCGAUCAUACGAAUCACUGAGUAACGAACUCAACUCAAAAGAACUCGUCGCCAUGAAAAUUUUUGUACCUGCUUUCUUAGGGAGGGAUCUCCAGUGACCUUCACCGUGAGCUUGAAUGUACUUGACAAGCAAUGUGUCUUCUCUAGGAGUCCAUGGACCUCUAUGCAACCCUAUUUUAGAACAACAAGGAGCUCUUCCCAUCUCUCUUUUCUUUAUAUUUUUC
Molecule: long non-coding RNA, 280 nt
Organism: Hibiscus syriacus
Lineage: Eukaryota; Viridiplantae; Streptophyta; Magnoliopsida; Malvales; Malvaceae
Exons: 3
Source: RefSeq, a predicted model, not a curated record